AGACUCUUACCACGGACACUGGCCUUUUAAAAAAGCAGAUGAGAAAUGUUUGACAUUUCUCCUGCUCCUCCGUCGACUGAGACUUGUACGACCAGAGGAAACGAAUAGAGUCUGUGCUUUGCAACUGGAUCCAGAAUAGAAGUGAUUCACCUGAGCUCGAUCUUACCCGACAGUGAAGAUCUCCUGUAGCUCAUUAACUCCCCACAUCCGGAUUCUCACAUGGCCACUUACACCUCUGCCACCCGUCCUGCACUGUCGACCCGGCGAGCUCGCUCCUUGCAGCCCAGCGUUUUAUUAUUCUUGACAGAGUUCAGCAAACACAUCUGGUCAGAGGAUAAGAGGGGAUGGAGGGACAGUGCCAAGAGGCAAAGAGGUGAGCGAGGAGCCAAUGGAGAGGGGUGUGGGGAGGCGGAGGACGAGGACCUACGACCAUCCAUCAUAACUGCCCCUCGUGAGUUAUGCCAGCUCCCUCAAACUCAGGCCAACCCCACUUUCCCUGACCUUUGACCCCUGUGGGGCUAAGCCAUGAGGUCCAUUAGAGCUCUGUGAUUGAGCGGAUCAGGCUUUAAAUGGUUUUAAUUUCUUUAAUUAGUGAUGUUUGCUGAUAUUUUUAACAAGUAAUUAUAGUUCCCAGCAAUGAGACACAGUUGUGCGCUGAAACGACACAAAGUUUGGUGAUGACGACCUCGCUGCCGUGUGAGUUAUGAUUCUGGUCCAUCAGGAGCAAAGGUGGAGGUUCCAUGAUGACGUUACACAGCCACAAAAGUUCCUCGGGUGGAGGUGGAUGGAUGGAUUGUCAGCGUGUGUGACGACCUGGGAUUUGGUGAUGGGUGACCGCUGUUUGUUUUGUCCGUUUGCCUCUAACAGUCAAUGCUGGACUCUGCUUUAA
Molecule: long non-coding RNA, 889 nt
Organism: Platichthys flesus (European flounder)
Lineage: Eukaryota; Metazoa; Chordata; Actinopteri; Pleuronectiformes; Pleuronectidae
Exons: 3
Source: RefSeq, a predicted model, not a curated record